GGGGGUAAAUUUAAUAAUUUAUAUAUAAUAAAAAAAUUUUUAAUAAAAUAAAAUAUUUUAAUGGGGGUUAAAGUAUAUUUUAGAAAAAAUUAGAAAUUUUAUAGGGAAUUAGUAUAGUAAUAGAAUAAUGAAAUAAAAUGAAAAUUUAAUUUGUUAUAAAGUAAAUUUAAUUUAUUGUAUCUUGUGUAUCAGAGUUUAUUAAUAAAAAUUUUUGGGGGAAAAUUUUUCGAAUUUAAAAGAGUUAAUUAAUUAAAAAUUUUAUUGUUACAUAAAUAUUUAAAAUAAUUAAUUAGAAAUUAAAUGUUAAUCGUUUUUAAAUAUAUCUAAUUUUUUUAGAAAUAAGUUUAAUUUAUAAUUUUAUAAAAAUUUUUAUAUAUUAAAUUUUAAAAAUUUAAUAAAAUUAAAUAUUUUAAGGGAUAAUCUUUAAAUUAAAUUUUUAUAAUUAAUAUUAAUAAAAAUAAAAUUUUUAAAAUUUAUAUUGUUUAUAAAUUAUAUUUUUUUGUAAAAAUUUUUAUUAUUAAUAAAAUUUUUAAUUAAAAUUUAAAUUUUUAUAAAAAAAUAAUUUUUAAUAAAAUAAAAUUAGUUAUAAUGAUAAAAUUAGUAUAUUUUAUUAUUAAAUAUAAUAUUUAUUAAAUUAAAAAUAAAAUAAAGGAAUUCGGCAAAAUUUUAUAUUCACCUGUUUAUCAAAAACAUGUCUUUUUGAAUAAAAUUUAAAGUUGAAUCUGCCCACUGAUGAAUAAUUAAAGGGCUGCAGUAUAUUGACUGUACAAAGGUAGCAUAAUAAUUAGUCUUUUAAUUGAAGACUUGUAUGAAAGAUUUGAUGAAAUAUAAACUGUCUCUUUUUUAUAAUUAGAAUUUAAUUUUUCAGUAAAAAAGCUGAAAUUAAUUUAAAAGACGAGAAGACCCUAUAGAGUUUUAUAAUUGAGUUAAUUAUAUAUUUGUAUUUAAUUUUAAAGUUAAUUGAUUUAAUUAUUUUAUUGGGGUGAUAGAAAAAUUAAAUUAACUUUUUUUAAAUAUUAUACAUUAAUUAAUGAUUUUAUGAUCCAUAUUAUAUGAUUAAAAGAAAAAAUUACCUUAGGGAUAACAGCGUAAUUUUUUUUUUUAGUUCUUAUAAGAAAAAAAGUUUGCGACCUCGAUGUUGGAUUAAGAUAAAAUUUAAAUGCAGAAGUUUAAAAUUUUGAUCUGUUCGAUCAUUAAAAUCUUACAUGAUCUGAGUUCAAACCGGUGUAAGCCAGGUUGGUUUCUAUCUUUAGAUAAAUAAAAUAUUUUA
This 1270-nucleotide ribosomal RNA is filed under the name Zinaida pellucida. Its description in RNAcentral is "partial 16S ribosomal RNA". Lineage: Eukaryota; Metazoa; Arthropoda; Insecta; Lepidoptera; Hesperiidae. The record is from RNAcentral.